RNAcentral lists this ribosomal RNA (253 nucleotides) under uncultured bacterium. RNAcentral describes it as "partial 16S ribosomal RNA". It matches the Rfam family "Bacterial small subunit ribosomal RNA", at positions 524 to 776 of the family's 1533-position model. The record is from RNAcentral.
UACAGAGGUCUCAAGCGUUGUUCGGAAUCACUGGGCGUAAAGGGUGCGUAGGCUGCACGGUAAGUCAGAGGUGAAAUCCCGGAGCUCAACUUCGGAAUUGCCUCCGAUACUGCCGUGCUUGAGGACUGGAGAGGAGAUUGGAAUUCACAGUGGAGCAGUGAAAUGCGUAGAUAUUGUGAGGAACACUAGUGGCGACGGCGAAUCUCUGGACAGUUCCUGACGCUGAGGCACGAAGGCCAGGGGAGCAAACGGG